UCCUAGGUAUUGAAGAAAGAGCUAAGAAUGUGCCUUCUUGACUUAUGCCCUCACUUCUUGAUUUAAGAUUGUUCUUGCCCUCAGCUUUACCAAUACAGAACCUCGACAAAAUAGAAGGGUCAGAGCCAGCACUGGGAGGAAGACAUCCUAGGUUCAUGAAGCCUUGACACUCUAUGAAACGCCUUCCACACUCACUUAAUGAGCACUUGUGCUGUGUCAGACUCUCCAUGUCACCGUGGGAUGCCUGGCUGUCCGGAGCGGAGCGUCACUCUCUCCACCACAUUCCUUGCUUCAUUGACUUCCAUCUAAUAUAAACCCUAGACUGUCCACCUGCGCAUACUUAACAACAGUAUCACUUCGUGAUAGCUAAUUGUGGUUGUCAACUUGACUGCACCUGCAAUCAACCGAAACCCAAGCUACUGAGCACUCUGUGAGGGAUUUUCUUGAUCAAAUCAUUUGAAACAAGAAGUCCCUUCCUAAAUCUCCAUGGCACCUUCUGUGGCAGCCCUCACAGGACACAGAAAAAGGAAACUUUGCCUUUUGCCUGCUUGCCUUCAACCUCAGUGGCAAGGCUCCCUAUUCUUUUUUUUUUUUUUUUGGUCUUUUUUUUUUUUCAGAGCU
Molecule: long non-coding RNA, 621 nt
Filed under: Rattus norvegicus (Norway rat)
Lineage: Eukaryota; Metazoa; Chordata; Mammalia; Rodentia; Muridae
Description: long non-coding RNA NONRATT031755
Source: RNAcentral